UAGGGAAUCUUCCACAAUGGACGCAAGUCUGAUGGAGCAACGCCGCGUGAGUGAAGAAGGUCUUCGGAUCGUAAAGCUCUGUUGUUGGUGAAGAAGGAUAGAGGCAGUAACUGGUCUUUAUUUGACGGUAAUCAACCAGAAAGUCACGGCUAACUACGUGCCAGCAGCCGCGGUAAUACGUAGGUGGCAAGCGUUGUCCGGAUUUAUUGGGCGUAAAGCGAGCGCAGGCGGAAUGAUAAGUCUGAUGUGAAAGCCCACGGCUCAACCGUGGAACUGCAUCGGAAACUGUCAUUCUUGAGUGCAGAAGAGGAGAGUGGAACCCCAAUGUGUAGCGGUGGAAUGCGUAGAUAUAUGGAAGAACACCAGUGGCGAAGGCGGCUCUCUGGUCUGCAACUGACGCUGAGGCUCGAAAGCAUGGGUAGCGAACAGGAUUAGAUACCCUGGUAGUCCAUGCCGUAAACGAUGAGCGCUAGGUGUUGGGGC
This 483-nucleotide ribosomal RNA is filed under the name uncultured bacterium. RNAcentral's name for it is "partial 16S ribosomal RNA". It matches the Rfam family "Bacterial small subunit ribosomal RNA", at positions 355 to 829 of the family's 1533-position model. The record is from RNAcentral.